Molecule: non-coding RNA, 2013 nt
Organism: Oryza sativa Japonica Group (Japanese rice)
Lineage: Eukaryota; Viridiplantae; Streptophyta; Magnoliopsida; Poales; Poaceae
Source: RefSeq, a predicted model, not a curated record
CACAAUGGUAUGGCUAUUAUGAAGUGGACCAUACGCGAGAGGACAAUUAGUAGGUCCGUAUACAUGUACUACACCUCUAGUUCAAAGCCAACAUGCAUAUAUUAAUUGGGUCUGAUCAGGGAGAAGCCAUAGGUCCGUAUUAUCGCAACGUAGAUUGUAUUACAAUUUACAAAUUCAUGCUAAUUAAAAUAUGCUAGUAUUGAAAAAUACCAUCAAGUAUAUCUUCAGUUUUUAUUGCCAUGGUCUUUGUUUAGUUUUAGUUAACCAGAAAUGUGAUAAAUCCUAAUUAAAGUUAGAAUUACUUCACGCGAAUUUGUAACUAGUAUUUGAUUUGAAUCUAACAUUUAGCACAUUAUAGUUGACAUGGUUUUAUUUUUUUCAAAUCAAAGCUGCUUAAGCUGCAGGCACGAUUUUUGCAGUUAGACCACAUAAAGCAUCCGCCUGCGACUGCAAAAACUAUUUUCACAUAAAGCGGACGACAGUCUCACCCCCCGUUGUCAUUUUUGUAGGCGGUCAUUUUGGUUCUGAGAGGUCUGGGAAAAAAUGUCAUCGUGUGGAAAAUGUUUUUUCUAGUAGUGUACGACUUUACUCAUAUUUUUAAUCUUGGUGAAAACUACAGAAAUGAGGGAGGUAUAGUACAUGCGAAAUUUAUGAAGCACAGAAGACAUGAUGAGCAGGCUUGUUGAUAUAUGCCAUCUCGACGUCUAGCAUUAUCGGAAGGUAUUGGGAAUCUGAUUAGCAACAGUAGAAUUUGCCUAUAGCGUGGUGGAAUACUCUACUAGCACCUACUAUAUAUUGUCAUUUGUUAUGGAUCACGGUCCAUAAAUUCAUUUGUUGCAUAUGUACGAAAGCCUGCUCAAUCUGGCAGACCGAACUCUUUUACCAAAUUAUCCCAUUUUCUAUAUAAAAUGGGCGUAAAUUAAUUGUUUGAGUGUGUGAGGGGGUCAGAUUUCUUCAGGGAUCUAUUUGGUACUCUUUUGAUUAGGCUCACUACUACAUAAUAGUACCAACAUACCACCGUAUCAAUGCUCGUCGAGGACCAUGACCUGAUAGUGAAUUUCCCAUUCACACACUCGGCCCAUGUCUUCUAUAGGCAUGAACUAGCACUAAUGCUAACACAAAGUGUUAGCUGGGAGCAAAAACCUGCACUGAUUAAUUAGUGGGUGGACAAACACUGCUGGUUUGAAUAAAUAGCUAUCAUCGAACAGUGUCAGUUCAUUGCUAGCUAUAACUGGUAGUAAUAAGUCGGUACUAAAAUUUUAAAUUUGGGAUGGAGUCAUCACCCCCGGUUUUAACUAUGAACCAACACUAAUAAAAGCCUCAUUUGUACCCCUAUUCUAUCGACGAACCGACACCAAUGACCCUAGUAAUAUUAGCUUCUGUUUUUGAUAUGAACACAACCUUCUCAUUCGAGCUGAACCAACUCGAUUAAAAGCAAUGAAUUACUACUGCACCACCAAUGUGAAUCCUCUUGCGUGUGCAAAAUUAUUAUACAUGGUACCCUGACCAUAUAUAUUACUUUGCAAGUGUUUGCUUCUCUCAGCUCAUCCAAUAAAAGAGGAAAUUAUGUAGAGAUGUUGCCCACUAGCAGACACUAGUCCACUUAUGCUCUACUAAUCAUCUUCUGUUCCCAUGCAUGUUAAACCUAGCUCGAUAUCAUACAUUUAGGCAUGGUAGGCAUGUCGGAUUUUGGUAUAUUAUGUUUCUCCAUCUAGCUUCCUGUGUAGUGCCUCGAAGGUUUAUGACGUGUGUGGUUGCAAUUGCCAUUGGACGCUGCACCAAAUUAAAGUUGUUAGGCAAAUUAUCAUUUUAAUAUUUUGCAAACUUGCAUGCAUAGGAGUAGCCAAUCGUGCCAAAACAUCGCUGGUUUGGCAAUCAUGAAGGAUAGAAAGAACCAAGGGCAAGAAUAAUGUGUGUGCAGUUGGUCUCCUAUGAGCCAACACACCUCUAGUAGCCUCUUCAAAGGCCUUUAGAAAUUCAUAUAUUAAUUUAGCAUGGAUCUAUUUUUUGUCA